GGUAGGAUGGCCGAGUGUUUAGGUGGUGGGCUGUAGACCCGCUUACAGAGAUUAGAUUUCUCUUCCUAUCA
Non-coding RNA from Petromyzon marinus (sea lamprey), 71 nucleotides. NCBI's taxonomy places the organism in Eukaryota, Metazoa, Chordata, Hyperoartia, Petromyzontiformes, Petromyzontidae. The record is from Ensembl.